CAGGCCUAACACAUGCAAGUCGAACGGUGAAGCCCAGCUUGCUGGGUGGAUCAGUGGCGAACGGGUGAGUGACACGUGAGCAAUCUGCCCCUGACUCUGGGAUAAGCGCUGGAAACGGUGUCUAAUACUGGAUAUGAGCUGCGACCGCAUGGUCAGUAGUUGGAAAGAUUUUUCGGUCAGGGAUGAGCUCGCGGCCUAUCAGCUUGUUGGUGAGGUAAUGGCUCACCAAGGCGUCGACGGGUAGCCGGCCUGAGAGGGUGACCGGCCACACUGGGACUGAGACACGGCCCAGACUCCUACGGGAGGCAGCAGUGGGGAAUAUUGCACAAUGGGCGGAAGCCUGAUGCAGCAACGCCGCGUGAGGGAUGACGGCCUUCGGGUUGUAAACCUCUUUUAGCAGGGAAGAAGCGAAAGUGACGGUACCUGCAGAAAAAGCGCCGGCUAACUACGUGCCAGCAGCCGCGGUAAUACGUAGGGCGCAAGCGUUAUCCGGAAUUAUUGGGCGUAAAGAGCUCGUAGGCGGUUUGUCGCGUCUGCUGUGAAAUCCCGAGGCUCAACCUCGGGCCUGCAGUGGGUACGGGCAGACUAGAGUGCGGUAGGGGAGAUUGGAAUUCCUGGUGUAGCGGUGGAAUGCGCAGAUAUCAGGAGGAACACCGAUGGCGAAGGCAGAUCUCUGGGCCGUAACUGACGCUGAGGAGCGAAAGGGUGGGGAGCAAACAGGCUUAGAUACCCUGGUAGUCCACCCCGUAA
RNAcentral lists this ribosomal RNA (750 nucleotides) under uncultured bacterium. Its description in RNAcentral is "bacterial SSU rRNA". It matches the Rfam family "Bacterial small subunit ribosomal RNA", at positions 43 to 805 of the family's 1533-position model. The record is from RNAcentral.